This 2138-nucleotide ribosomal RNA is filed under the name uncultured marine bacterium. RNAcentral describes it as "bacterial SSU rRNA". The stretch from base 1 to 1544 matches the Rfam family "Bacterial small subunit ribosomal RNA". The record is from RNAcentral.
AACGAACGCUGGCGGCGUGGAUAAGACAUGCAAGUCGAGCGACAGACCAGGAAUUGAUUACUUCGGUUUGAUUUUCCUGACGAUGAGCGGCGAACGGGUGCGUAACACGUGAGAAAUCUACCCUUAUGUACGGGAUAGCCCUACGAAAGUAGGAUUAAUACCGGAUAAGGCCCUGGGAGGGCAUCUUCCCUUGGCUAAAGCUCGGUCACAGAGCGCUUUUGGAUGAUCUCGCGGUCUAUCAGCUUGUUGGUGAGGUAACGGCUCACCAAGGCUCUGACGGAUAGCUGGUCUGAGAGGAUGAUCAGCCUCACUGGAACUGAGACACGGUCCAGACACCUACGGGUGGCAGCAGUCGAGAAUCAUUCACAAUGGGCGAAAGCCUGAUGGUGCGACGCCGCGUGGGGGAUGAAGGGCUUCGGUUCGUAAANCCCUGUCAUCUGUGAGUAAGACUCCCAAUAAAAGCUUGGGAGGUUGAUAUUAGCAGAAGAGGAAGGGACGGCUAACUCUGUGCCAGCAGCCGCGGUAAUACAGAGGUCCCAAGCGUUGUUCGGAUUUACUGGGCGUAAAGGGUGCGUAGGCGGCUAGAAAAGUUUGGUGUGAAAUCUUCGGGCUCAACCCGGAAACUGCACUGAAAACUAUUUGGCUAGAGGAUCGGAGAGGAGAUUGGAAUUCUCGGUGUAGCAGUGAAAUGCGUAGAUAUCGAGAGGAACACCAGUUGCGAAGGCGGAUCUCUGGACGGUUCCUGACGCUGAGGCACGAAAGCUGGGGUAGCGAAGAGGAUUAGAUACCCUCGUAGUCCCAGCCGUAAGCGGUGCACACUUGCUGUGGGCGGAUUCGACCCCGUCCGUGGCGAAGCUAACGCGAUAAGUGUGCCGCCUGGGGAGUACGGUCGCAAGAUUAAAACUCAAAGAAAUUGACGGGGGCCUGCACAAGCGGUGGAGUAUGUGGCUUAAUUCGAUGCAACGCGAAGAACCUUACCUGGCCUUGACAUGUAGUGGACCGGGUGCGUAAUGGCACCCUUUUCUUCGGAACUGCUACACAGGUGCUGCAUGGCUGUCGUCAGCUCGUGUCGUGAGAUGUUGGGUUAAGUCCCGCAACGAGCGCAACCCCCGUGUUCUGUUGCCACCCGGAUGUAAAUCCCGGAGCACUCUGGACAGACUGCCUGGUUUCAACCAGGAGGAAGGUGGGGAUGACGUCAAGUCAGUAUGGCCCUUACGGCCAGGGCUGCACACGUACUGCAAUGCCUGAUAUAAUGGGAAGCGAGACCGCGAGGUGGAGCAAAUCCUCAAAAUCAGGCCCAGUUCAGAUUGUAGGCUGCAACUCGCCUACAUGAAGGAGGAAUCGCUAGUAAUGCCGUAUCAGCUACGACGGCGUGAAUACGUUCCCAGGCCUUGUACACACCGCCCGUCACAUCAUGAAAGUCGAUUGUACCCGAAGUCGCUGCAUUAACCGCAAGGAGAUAGGCGCCGAAGGUAUGGUUGGUAAUUGGGAUGAAGUCGUAACAAGGUAGCCGUAGGGGAACCUGUGGCUGGAUCACCUCCUUUCUAAGGAGAAUAACUGUGGUGGCAUAAGCCAUCACGAGGUCGAACCGGGAUGCUUGUCAUCCUGGCAGGGCUCGGACCUUAUUGUGCAAUUCAGUGUUCCGAGAACGGUGUUCUUUUGACAAGAAAGCUUUGCUCCGGGCGGACUCGUUCGGCGAUAAGUAGUUCAAAAGGGGCUGUAGCUCAGUUGGUAGAGCGCCUGCUUUGCAAGCAGGAUGUCAGGAGUUCGAGUCUCCUCAGCUCCACCAGCUACAACAACCGGUCGGGCCUGUAGCUCAGUUGGUUAGAGCGCGCCCCUGAUAAGGGCGAGGUCACUGGUUCAAAUCCAGUUAGGCCCACCAUCCCGGAUUUUUUGGCGACAGCAGAACAGGUCGCCAAGGUUCUUUGACAACUGUAUGCAGUGAUAUUGCGGUAGAAAAUGCAAUACGCUGAGAAUUAAUUUGGAUAUUUUCAAUUUUAUUGAAAUGACCAAGUUCUUUUUGUGAUCAAGCUACUAAGGGCACGAGGUGAAUGCCUUGGCUCCAGAAGUCGAUGAAGGACGUAGUAAGUUGCGAUAAGCCGCGGCUAGCGACAAACACGCUUAACCGCGGAUUUCCC